UACGUAGGGUGCAAGCGUUGUCCGGAAUUAUUGGGCGUAAAGAGCUCGUAGGCGGUCUGUCGCGUCUGCUGUGAAAACUCAGGGCUUAACCCUGAGCUUGCAGCGGGUACGGGCAGACUAGAGUGCGGUAGGGGAGACUGGAAUUCCUGGUGUAGCGGUGAAAUGCGCAGAUAUCAGGAGGAACACCGGUGGCGAAGGCGGGUCUCUGGGCCGUAACUGACGCUGAGGAGCGAAAGCAUGGGGAGCGAACAGG
This 253-nucleotide ribosomal RNA is filed under the name uncultured bacterium. RNAcentral's name for it is "partial 16S ribosomal RNA". It matches the Rfam family "Bacterial small subunit ribosomal RNA", at positions 524 to 776 of the family's 1533-position model. The record is from RNAcentral.